RNAcentral lists this unclassified non-coding RNA (332 nucleotides) under soil metagenome. RNAcentral's name for it is "partial contains 5.8S ribosomal RNA, internal transcribed spacer 2, and large subunit ribosomal RNA". The stretch from base 1 to 120 matches the Rfam family "5.8S ribosomal RNA", at positions 35 to 154 of the family's 154-position model. The record is from RNAcentral.
GAUGAAGAACGUAGCGAAUUGCGAUAUGUAAUGUGAAUUGCAGAAUUCAGUGAAUCAUCGAAUCUUUGAACGCACAUUGCGCCCGCCAGUAUUCUGGCGGACAUGCCUGUUCGAGCGUCAUUUCAACCCUCAAGCACAGCUUGGUGUUGGGACUCGCGUUAAUUCGCGUUCCCCAAAUUGAUUGGCGGUCACGUCGAGCUUCCAUAGCGUAGUAGUAAAACCCUCGUUACUGGUAAUCGUCGCGGCCACGCCGUUAAACCCCAACUUCUGAAUGUUGACCUCGGAUCAGGUAGGAAUACCCGCUGAACUUAAGCAUAUCAAUAAGCGGAGGA